GGGCUUCCAGAUGCUGAUCUACUGCACGAAUCAACUAAGUCUAGAACAGAAUGACUCUUUCAUUGUCUUCGGUUCUUCCUUCACAUUAUCUUGACCCUGUGCACUGUUUGGCAAUAACUCACAAGUGAGAAUGGCUUAAAAAGACUCUUGUCUUGGCUUAGAGGCGGGUUCUCAGAGAACAUCAAAGAGGCCUCUGGGUCUUGGCGCCAGCAGGAAUGCUAGCAGCGUCUCAGGCCACAGAAGCGUGUCCUGUACCGUGAUGGCUGGUGAGAAGGAGCAGCCAAGGCCACACUCAAAUGACACGACCAGUCUGCAAGGGUUGGUGCACCGGGAAGUGAAUACAUGGAAGACUGGUUGAGUUGGGUCAGUUUGGAGAUGCUGUUAAUUACCAUGCUGCCCAGCGGAAUGACCUUCUCUGUGGGGACAUUGAACACAAUGAGAGACAAGGAGCAACAGCCUAUUGCAGUACUCGGCACAAGGGCUUCAACUUGAGUCAUCUAAAGCCCCACAAUUGUUUCGUCUUUGGAAUAAGGAAUCAGAUGAAAGGUAAAAAUAAGCGAGUUCCUGCAUUACAGUAUGAAAAGAAAAGGGGAGGAAAGCAUGUGGGUCACUGGUGAGUAGCCCCAAUGCAUUUGUUAGGGUGGAAUGCUGGGAAAUCUAGGCAUGGGACCUUGUUUGGAAAAGGAUUUAAAACUACUUCCCCGCCCUCUCUCCUUUGCUUCACCAGCAUUCUGCACAGUGAUGCUUUCCCCAGGAGCAGUGCUGUUGUUAGGGACCACGGAGUCACUGUGGACUCUUCCGAACCCCGUGUGGUGCUCUGGGCUGCAAUCUUUACAGCAGCAGCAGGCCCAGGACUUUUCUCAUAGAGAAAGCUGUUGAGUGGGUUCUAACUGCCAACCUUUCCGUGAUUAGCUGAGUGCCUGUUAAAAGAUUUCCCAAUG
Long non-coding RNA from Echinops telfairi (small Madagascar hedgehog), 941 nucleotides. RefSeq lists it as uncharacterized. The record is from RefSeq and is a predicted model, not a curated record. The transcript has 2 exons. NCBI's taxonomy places the organism in Eukaryota, Metazoa, Chordata, Mammalia, Afrosoricida, Tenrecidae.